RNAcentral lists this small RNA (78 nucleotides) under Salmonella enterica subsp. enterica. RNAcentral's name for it is "isrK". It matches the Rfam family "isrK Hfq binding RNA". The record is from RNAcentral. Lineage: Bacteria; Pseudomonadati; Pseudomonadota; Gammaproteobacteria; Enterobacterales; Enterobacteriaceae.
GCACCUGCAAAAUCAGGUGCCGGGAUUGGAACCCUGAUUAACUUCACUGACGACACAAGGCGCGUCUGCGCUUUUUUU